Mytilus trossulus (common blue mussel) is the source of this 242-nucleotide long non-coding RNA. RefSeq lists it as uncharacterized. Lineage: Eukaryota; Metazoa; Mollusca; Bivalvia; Mytilida; Mytilidae. The record is from RefSeq and is a predicted model, not a curated record. The transcript has 3 exons.
AAUCCAGGACCAUCAAACAUGUCAAAACCAGGACCAUCAAACAUGUCAAAACCAGGACCAUCAAACAUGUCAAAACCAGGACCAUCAAAUGCAAGAAAAGAAAGACUUAAAAAGUUAUAUGAAAGGUCAACCACUGGAAGAGGAAAGGGGAGAGGAAAAGGAAGAGCUAAAGGAAGAGGUCAUGGUAUGAAGAGAAAGAGGGAGAGCAGUUCUGACUCCAGUGACAGUGAAGAAGAAAUAAG